AUGUUGAGCAAGAUAAGCCACUUCAUGUGAAGAGAAAGACCACAUCUGUGGUUUGUAAUGAGUUCAAUAGGGUUCUUGUUGAGAAAAAAAUGGAAGGUUGAAUGUGUAUGGUGUCACGGGCUAUUUUGUGGAGAUCCAAAGUAUGGAACCUCACAUAUGCAUGCUCAUUUAGCAAGAUGUGCUUCUAGGCAGGCCAAUGGUAACUUGCCAUCCUCAACCAUCAUCUUAUUCUUUAAUCUUAAGUAAUGUUUCCAUUUGCCAAUGGUAACUUACUAAUGUUUCCACUUGUCUAAUGUUCAGGUUGAGGAACUGUCGACUUACUAUAUGCCUGCACGGAGCAUUGAAGAAUGAAGAUUGAAGUCCUAGAUAUUUGAUGUUGUGGGAUGUGUGUGCUUUGUUAUGUUUGCCAUGCUUGCAUUUGUUAAGUGUUAAAGAUAGGAACUUUCAGUCGGGUAAUCCAUUUGCUGAAUAUUUGGUCAGUCAUAAUUGAAUAUGUAUGUAUCAAUUAUAUGUCAAAAUUAUCUAAAUAUCCAGCAGUCCACAUAUCCUAUUUAUCUAAAUAUAUUGCAAUCCUGAUUAUUGUUAUAAUUGAAUGUG
Molecule: long non-coding RNA, 597 nt
Filed under: Triticum aestivum (bread wheat)
Lineage: Eukaryota; Viridiplantae; Streptophyta; Magnoliopsida; Poales; Poaceae
Description: long non-coding RNA (TAES_LNC020996)
Source: RNAcentral